This 433-nucleotide ribosomal RNA is filed under the name uncultured bacterium. Its description in RNAcentral is "partial 16S ribosomal RNA". It matches the Rfam family "Bacterial small subunit ribosomal RNA", at positions 29 to 507 of the family's 1533-position model. The record is from RNAcentral.
AACGAACGCUGGCGGCAUGCCUAACACAUGCAAGUCGAACGAGACCUUCGGGUCUAGUGGCGCACGGGUGCGUAACGCGUGGGAACCUGCCCUUAGGUUCGGAAUAACUCCCCGAAAGGGGUGCUAUUACGGGAUAAUGUUUUCGGACCAAAGAUUUUUGGCCUUUGGAUGGGCCCCCUUUGGAUUACCUAUUUGGUAGGUUAAAAGCCUACCAAGGCGACGAUCCAUAGCUGGUCUGAGAGGAUGAUCAGCCACACUGGGACUGAGAAACGGCCCAGACUCCUACGGGAGGCAGCAGUGGGGAAUAUUGGACAAUGGGCGAAAGCCUGAUCCAGCAAUGACGCGUGAGUGAUGAAGGCCUUAGGGUUGUAAAGCUCUUUUAACCGGGAUGAUAAUGACAGUACCGGGAGAAUAAGCUCCGGCUAACUCCGUG